UACAGAGGGGGCAAGCGUUAUUCGGAAUUAUUGGGCGUAAAGGGCGCGUAGGCGGCGAUUCAAGUGACGGGUGAAAUCCCUCGGCUUAACCGAGGAACUGCCUGUCAGACUGGAUUGCUUGAGGCCGGGAGAGGCGAGUGGAAUUCCCAGUGUAGCGGUGAAAUGCGUAGAUAUCAGGAGGAACACCGAUGGCGAAGGCAGGUCUCUGGGCCACUACUGACGCUGAGAAGCGAAAGCAUGGGGAGCGAACAGG
Molecule: ribosomal RNA, 253 nt
Filed under: uncultured bacterium
Lineage: Bacteria
Description: partial 16S ribosomal RNA
Rfam family: Bacterial small subunit ribosomal RNA
Source: RNAcentral